GAUGAACGCUGGCGGCGUGCCUAAUACAUGCAAGUCGAGCGAACAGAUAAGGAGCUUGCUCCUCUGAAGUUAGCGGCGGACGGGUGAGUAACACGUGGGUAACCUACCUAUAAGACUGGGAUAACUUCGGGAAACCGGAGCUAAUACCGGAUAACAUUUAGAACCGCAUGGUUCUAAAGUGAAAGAUGGUUUUGCUAUCACUUAUAGAUGGACCCGCGCCGUAUUAGCUAGUUGGUAAGGUAACGGCUUACCAAGGCGACGAUCCGUAGCCGACCUGAGAGGGUGAUCGGCCACACUGGAACUGAGACACGGUCCAGACUCCUACGGGAGGCAGCAGUAGGGAAUCUUCCGCAAUGGGCGAAAGCCUGACGGAGCAACGCCGCGUGAGUGAUGAAGGGUUUCGGCUCGUAAAACUCUGUUAUUAGGGAAGAACAAAUGUGUAAGUAACUGUGCACAUCUUGACGGUACCUAAUCAGAAAGCCACGGCUAACUACGUG
RNAcentral lists this ribosomal RNA (497 nucleotides) under uncultured bacterium. RNAcentral's name for it is "partial 16S ribosomal RNA". It matches the Rfam family "Bacterial small subunit ribosomal RNA", at positions 28 to 507 of the family's 1533-position model. The record is from RNAcentral.